GACGAACGCUGGCGGCGUGCCUAAUACAUGCAAGUCGAGCGGACUUUCAAGAAGCUUGCUUUUUGAAAGUUAGCGGCGGACGGGUGAGUAACACGUGGGCAACCUGCCUGCAAGACGGGGAUAACUCCGGGAAACCGGGGCUAAUACCGGAUAAUAUCUUCCUUCGCAUGAAGGAAGGUUGAAAGGCGGCGCAAGCUGCCGCUUGCAGAUGGGCCCGCGGCGCAUUAGCUAGUUGGUGAGGUAACGGCUCACCAAGGCGACGAUGCGUAGCCGACCUGAGAGGGUGAUCGGCCACACUGGGACUGAGACACGGCCCAGACCCCUACGGGAGGCAGCAGUAGGGAAUCUUCCGAAAUGGACGAAAGUCUGACGGAGCAACGCCGCGUGAGCGAAGAAGGUCUUCGGAUCGUAAAGCUCUGUUGUCAGGGAAGAACAAGUACCGUUCGAACAGGGCGGUACCUUGACGGUACCUGGACAGAAAGCCACGGCUAACUACGUG
Molecule: ribosomal RNA, 499 nt
Filed under: uncultured bacterium
Lineage: Bacteria
Description: partial 16S ribosomal RNA
Rfam family: Bacterial small subunit ribosomal RNA
Source: RNAcentral